AUACGUAGGGUGCAAGCGUUGUCCGGAAUUAUUGGGCGUAAAGAGCUCGUAGGCGGCUUGUCGCGUCUGCUGUGAAAUCCCGAGGCUCAACCUCGGGCUUGCAGUGGGUACGGGCAGGCUAGAGUGCGGUAGGGGAGAUUGGAAUUCCUGGUGUAGCGGUGGAAUGCGCAGAUAUCAGGAGGAACACCGAUGGCGAAGGCAGAUCUCUGGGCCGCUACUGACGCUGAGGGGCGAAAGCAUGGGGGGCGAACAGGAUUGGAUCCCCUGGUAGUCCAUGCCGUAAACGUUGGGAACUAGAUGUAGGGCCUGUUCCACGGGUUCUGUGUCGUAGCUAACGCAUUAAGUUCCCCGCCUGGGGAGUACGGCCGCAAGGCUAAAACUCAAAUGAAUUGACGGGG
Molecule: ribosomal RNA, 398 nt
Filed under: uncultured bacterium
Lineage: Bacteria
Description: partial 16S ribosomal RNA
Rfam family: Bacterial small subunit ribosomal RNA
Source: RNAcentral